RNAcentral lists this unclassified non-coding RNA (432 nucleotides) under soil metagenome. RNAcentral's name for it is "partial contains 5.8S ribosomal RNA, internal transcribed spacer 2, and large subunit ribosomal RNA". The stretch from base 1 to 120 matches the Rfam family "5.8S ribosomal RNA", at positions 35 to 154 of the family's 154-position model. The record is from RNAcentral.
GAUGAAGAACGUAGCGAAAUGCGAUACGUAAUGUGAAUUGCAGAAUUCAGUGAAUCAUCGAAUCUUUGAACGCAUAUUGCGCUCUCUGGUAUUCCGGAGAGCAUGCUUGUUUGAGUAUCAGUAAACACCUCAACUUCCAUAUCUUUUUUGAAAUGGGAGUUGGACUUGAGUGAUCCCAACGCUUUUCCUCACCGAAAAGUGGCGGGUUACUUGAAAUGCAGGUGCAGCUGGACUUUUCUCUGAGCUAUAAGCAUAUCUAUUUAGUCUGCCUAAAAAACAGAUUUUUACCUUUGCUGCAGCUAACAUAAAGGAGAUUAGUUCUUGUGCUGACUGAUGCAGGAUUCACAAAGACGGCUUCGGCCGACUUUGUAAACUCGAUCUCAAAUCAAGUAAGACUACCCGCUGAACUUAAGCAUAUCAAUAAGCGGAGGA